GCCCCUGUAGCUCAGGGGAUAGAGCGCUACCCUCCGGAGGUAGAAGCGAAGGUUCGAAUCCUUCCAGGGGCACCA
This 75-nucleotide transfer RNA is filed under the name Geodermatophilaceae bacterium. RNAcentral's name for it is "tRNA-Arg". It matches the Rfam family "tRNA". Rfam says of the family: Transfer RNA (tRNA) molecules are approximately 80 nucleotides in length. Their secondary structure includes four short double-helical elements and three loops (D, anti-codon, and T loops). Further hydrogen bonds mediate the characteristic L-shaped molecular structure. tRNAs have two regions of fundamental functional importance: the anti-codon, which is responsible for specific mRNA codon recognition, and the 3' end, to which the tRNAs corresponding amino acid is attached (by aminoacyl-tRNA synthetases). tRNAs cope with the degeneracy of the genetic code in two manners: having more than one tRNA (with a specific anti-codon) for a particular amino acid; and 'wobble' base-pairing, i.e. permitting non-standard base-pairing at the 3rd anti-codon position. The record is from RNAcentral. RNAcentral also lists the same sequence under 2 other names. Lineage: Bacteria; Bacillati; Actinomycetota; Actinomycetes; Geodermatophilales; Geodermatophilaceae.